Molecule: ribosomal RNA, 437 nt
Filed under: uncultured Nitrososphaerota archaeon
Lineage: Archaea; Thermoproteati; Nitrososphaerota
Description: bacterial SSU rRNA
Rfam family: Archaeal small subunit ribosomal RNA
Source: RNAcentral
GCGAGAAACCUUUGCAAUGUGCGCAAGCACGACAAGGUUAAUCCGAGUGUUUCCUGCUAAAGGAAUCUUUUGUUAGUUGUAAAACCACUGAUGAAUAAGGGGCGGGCAAGUUCUGGUGUCAGCCGCCGCGGUAAAACCAGCACCUCAAGUGGUCAGGAUGAUUAUUGGGCCUAAAGCAUCCGUAGCCUGUUCUGUAAGUUUCCGGUUAAAUCCAUUAGCUCAACUAAUGGGCUGCCGAAAAAUACUGCAGAACUAGGGAGUGGGAGAGGUAGACGGUACUCGGUAGGAAGGGGUAAAAUCCUGUCAUCCUUUGAGGACCACCAGUUGCGAAGGCGCCACACUGGAACGGAUCCGACGGUCAGGGACGAAGCCUAGGGGGCACGAACCGGAUUAGAUACCCGGGUAGUCCUAGGUGUAAACGCUGUGAACUUGGUGUC